GAAGAAAGAGGGAGGAGGGAGGAACACAUGCAAGUCGAACGGAAAGGCCCUGCUUUUGUGGGGUGCUCGAGUGGCGAACGGGUGAGUAACACGUGAGUAACCUGCCCUUGACUUUGGGAUAACUUCAGGAAACUGGGGCUAAUACCGGAUAGGAGCUCCUGCUGCAUGGUGGGGGUUGGAAAGUUUCGGCGGUUGGGGAUGGACUCGCGGCUUAUCAGCUUGUUGGUGGGGUAGUGGCUUACCAAGGCUUUGACGGGUAGCCGGCCUGAGAGGGUGACCGGCCACAUUGGGACUGAGAUACGGCCCAGACUCCUACGGGAGGCAGCAGUGGGGAAUAUUGCACAAUGGGCGGAAGCCUGAUGCAGCAACGCCGCGUGCGGGAUGACGGCCUUCGGGUUGUAAACCGCUUUCGCCUGUGACGAAGCGUGAGUGACGGUAAUGGGUAAAGAAGCACCGGCUCACUACGUC
Molecule: ribosomal RNA, 468 nt
Filed under: uncultured bacterium
Lineage: Bacteria
Description: partial 16S ribosomal RNA
Rfam family: Bacterial small subunit ribosomal RNA
Source: RNAcentral